Molecule: ribosomal RNA, 447 nt
Filed under: uncultured bacterium
Lineage: Bacteria
Description: partial 16S ribosomal RNA
Rfam family: Bacterial small subunit ribosomal RNA
Source: RNAcentral
GACGAACGCUGGCGGCAGGCUUAACACAUGCAAGUCGAACGCCCCGCAAGGGGAGUGGCAGACGGGUGAGUAACACGUGGGAACGUACCCUUUGGUUCGGAAUAACUUGGGGAAACUCAAGCUAAUACCGGAUAAGCCCUUAUGGGGAAAGGUUUACUGCCGAAGGAUCGGCCCGCGUCUGAUUAGCUAGUUGGUGAGGGAAUGGCUCACCAAGGCGACGAUCAGUAGCUGGGCUGAGAGGAUGAUCAGCCACACUGGGUCUGAGACACAGGCCAGAAUCCGACGGGAGGCAGCAGUGGGGAAUAGUGGACAAUGGGGGCAACCCUGAUCCAGCCAGGCCGGGUGAGUGAUGAAGGCCUUAGGGUUGAAAAGCUCUUUUACCCGGGACGAUAAUGACUGUACCGGGAGAAUAAGCCCCGGCUAACUUCGUGCCAGCAGCCGCCGUAA